UGAGACACCUGGUAGACAAAACUAGCUACAUGUUUGUACAUGCAAGACCAAUAGCCAGAUCGUGAAUGCUGAUGAUAAUACACUAUGCAGUCUUAGGUCAAAGGUUGGAAAAGGAAAGCAUGGCAUUAACUUCAAUAUCAGAUCAUGGAACACAUAAAAUCAAACUUUCAGAUAUGUUUGCUAUAAACUAGAAUUAGCAAUACUAAUUGGCCACAUCCACCUUUGGCAGGCAACCCUCAAAGAAUUGGUCAAGAGUGAAUGUGGUCCUUCAGCCAAAAAGUAAAAAAGAGUUAGCUACUUCUGCACCAGGCUCUUGAUGGAUUAUUACAUCAAGUGCAGACAAAAUAGGUCAUUAUUCUCAUUUGAUGUAUAGGAACUUGGAUGAAGGACUAAUUCAAAACCACCUAAAGAUCCAAGAUAGAUGUGGGACCUACACCUAACUUUUUACCGCUACACCAUGUUGACUUAAUUGUUAGGAAGAUAACAAACAAGAGUAUUCAAAACAAAAAAGCAGCAUUUCAACUCUUUGAUGUACUGGAAUUUGAAAGGUCCAUUUGGCAACAUUUCCCAAUCAAGAUGGAUAAUCAGCAGAAUGGCGUUCCAUGGUUUCAAGUUAAGAAUAAUUUUCACAGGAGGCAUUUUGCUGCUGAAGUCUGUCACCAGUCUUUAAGAAAAGGAAAAAGAAUGGAACAUACUUGCCCCCCCUUUCAAAUAUGCCAUUAUGGAGUGGUAUAAGAGGGACAAAAAACCCAGCAGAAUCAGCCUACUAUGGUGAUAAAAAGAGUCACCAUAUCACCAAAAGGUACAACCAUGUUUGUAGCUCAAUAGCUGUUGACUUCAUGAUUUAUUUUGUGUUUAGUCAUCAUUUAAUCUAUCUGAAUUGACUACUUCAAUUAUGUGGUGCUCUAGAAAUGGCAAAACUUGACAAGGAGGGGAAAAUGAUGAAUAUUUAAAAUUUGAGGAAGGGCUUUGCUUGGAUAGUAGGAUUCUGGUUUUAACAAAACAAAAAUGCCAUGUUCUGCCAUAGAGAGUUGCCACUAGUUGCCAAAACAUUUUCUUGCUGAACCAAUCCAGUGAAGUGAUUAUCUUUGAUUAGAUGGGAUCAACUGCAAGAAUAAGGCCUGUCAAGGCUGACGUUUUCUUUUUGAGUAUUGAAGCACCACAAGCAUGGGUCAACACUGUUUCUUAGGUCUGUUGAUCUGGGCAUAGAGAGGUUCUCUUUCCUGGGGACAAUAGAAAGAAAUAUGAAUAGAGACAAUUCCAGCUACCUGUAUGUGAACAGAUUUUAGGAAAGUAGGUAAAGAAGGAUAAAAUGCUAAAGAAACAGCAUUUUUAUUUUACUAGUUUGAAUUAUGAUUAUUUUCCAAAAAACAAUUAAAAAAAGAUUCAGUAAUUCUGCACUACAAGUGUUCAUCAAGAACCCAAUUGCUAAGCUGAAAUAAUUACAAUGAAAUGAAAGAGAGUUCAUAUACAUAACACAGUACAAGAGAAACCAGAAAAGGUCAACUUUGCAAUUAUUGAUUUUAAACAUGUGGAGCAAAUCACCACUUUCAGCUUAUAAAAAUGUAGUUUGAAUUUGGAGAAAUAAUGAGAAAUUGUUUCCCUGUAAUCCAGUUAAAAUUUUCAGAUCAAUACACCUUCUAGCUAGUUGAUUUGGGAUUGCUUCACUCCAGAAUCAGUGUAGGUUCAAACAAGGAUGAUGGCUGAGCUAACAAUAAGGCCAAUGUGCCAUAUAUCACCUUCUCAUUCCAUGAUGUAAUAAACAUUCAAAAUCCAAAUAAACUUUAAAUCAGUGACACUGGACGUAUCUGUAGAGCUAUCAUGCAAUACGCAUUGGUAAGCUUGUCCAUACAAAUGUCAAGAAAUGUGAGAACUGUUUUGAUGAAAACGAAGACAUAACUUCCUAAAGUAUCUAAACAUUUAUAUGAAUUGUCAUAGUAAAUUGACAUCAAGCUCUUGUGACACUGAAAUCCUGGUGUGGAGCACAAUGCUGCAGUGUUGUGGGACACAUGCUCCCUCAUUGCCAGGUUCAAUAGUGCACAAAUGCAAGUAAUGAAGAUUCUGGAGAACCGGAAAGGUUGCUCACAACUUUGUGUCAUUAAAAUUGGUCCUGAUAAAAAUAUUAUCACAUUGUGACUUUGGAUCCCAACAGAGCAUUUUUAAAAUAAAUGCUUGUUUUAUUUCUUUAUCUACAUCUUUAUCUAUUUGUAUUAGACGAUUAAUGAUUGUUUGAUAGUCUCCAAACCAACUGUGUGUUAUUUGAUUUUUGGAUUUUUAAAAAAGUUUUACUUCACUUAUAUAUAUUCCAUUUUUAUUUUAUUAAAAUGAGGUUGUAACAAUAUUUGUUUUUAUCUGAUGAUUCAAUGGUCUGUUGACUGUAAAAAAUUUUGA
Molecule: long non-coding RNA, 2391 nt
Organism: Rhineura floridana
Lineage: Eukaryota; Metazoa; Chordata; Lepidosauria; Squamata; Rhineuridae
Exons: 3
Source: RefSeq, a predicted model, not a curated record